GGGGGCGUUACGGAUUCGACAGGUACAGUUUGAGCUUGAAUGGCGCUUCGUAGGUUACGUCUACGCUAAAACGUUAACAGUUAAAUAUAACUGCUAAAAACGAAAACACUUUCGCUCUAGCUGCGUAAAAACAGUUGGCGAAGAUCCUUCCGGCAUCACCCAUGUGCUCGGGUCAGGGUCUCAAAUUAAGUGGGAUACGCUAAAUGUUUCCGUCUGGAAUGUUUAGAAGAGAUUAUCAGGCUAGCGAAGAAGACUGUUUGUUUUGUGUCAAAUCUCUUAGCGAAACCUUAAACACAAAACUAUGAGCGUAGAAGUUUAAGUGUCGAUGUGCUUGGACGCGGGUUCGACUCCCGCCGCUUCCAUUG
This 365-nucleotide transfer-messenger RNA is filed under the name Vagococcus salmoninarum. It matches the Rfam family "transfer-messenger RNA". From Rfam's summary of the family: Bacterial tmRNA, also known as 10Sa RNA or SsrA, is named for its dual tRNA and mRNA-like properties. Its role is to liberate the mRNA from a stalled ribosome. The record is from RNAcentral. RNAcentral also lists the same sequence under 1 other name. Lineage: Bacteria; Bacillati; Bacillota; Bacilli; Lactobacillales; Enterococcaceae.